RNAcentral lists this ribosomal RNA (315 nucleotides) under Tetragenococcus halophilus. Its description in RNAcentral is "partial 23S ribosomal RNA". It matches the Rfam family "Bacterial large subunit ribosomal RNA", at positions 2054 to 2368 of the family's 2925-position model. The record is from RNAcentral. Lineage: Bacteria; Bacillati; Bacillota; Bacilli; Lactobacillales; Enterococcaceae.
UGAAAAUGCAGGUUACCCGCGACAGGACGGAAAGACCCCAUGGAGCUUUACUGUAAUUUGAUAUUGGGUGUCUGUGAUGCAUGUACAGCAUAGGUAGGAGCCGUAGAAUUCGGGACGCGAGUCUCGAAGGAGGCAUCCGUGGGAUACUACCCUUGCAUUAUGGCCACUCUAACCCGCGCCACUGAUCGUGGCGGGAGACAGUGUCAGAUGGGCAGUUUGACUGGGGCGGUCGCCUCCUAAAAAGUAACGGAGGCGCCCCAAGGUUCCCUCAGAAUGGUUGGAAAUCAUUCAAAGAGUGUAAAGGCAGAAGGGAGC